RNAcentral lists this ribosomal RNA (249 nucleotides) under uncultured bacterium. RNAcentral describes it as "partial 16S rRNA". It matches the Rfam family "Archaeal small subunit ribosomal RNA", at positions 1046 to 1291 of the family's 1478-position model. The record is from RNAcentral.
CGAGACCCAUGUCCACUGUUGCUAACGCGACCCGCGAGGGUUGGCGAGUACACGGUGGAGACCGCUGGCGCUAAGUCAGAGGAAGGGGUGGUCGACGGUAGGUCAGUAUGCCCCGAAUAUCCCGGGCUACACGCGGGCUACAAUGGACAGGACAAUGGGCUACAACACUGAAAAGUGACGUCAAUCUCUUAAACCUGUCCUUAGUUCGGAUUGAGGGCUGAAACUCGCCCUCAUGAAGAUGGAAUCCGG